Molecule: ribosomal RNA, 373 nt
Filed under: uncultured bacterium
Lineage: Bacteria
Description: bacterial SSU rRNA
Rfam family: Bacterial small subunit ribosomal RNA
Source: RNAcentral
GACGAACGCUGGCGGCGUGCUUAACACAUGCAAGUCGAGCGGUAAGGCCCUUUCGGGGGUACACGAGCGGCGAACGGGUGAGUAACACGUGGGUGACCUGCCCUCAGCUCUGGGAUAAGCCCGGGAAACUGGGUCUAAUACCGGAUAUGACUCCAUGACGCAUGUUGUGGGGUGGAAAGCCUUGUGCGGCUGAGGAUGGGCCCGCGGCCUAUCAGCUUGUUGGUGGGGUGAUGGCCUACCAAGGCGACGACGGGUAGCCGGCCUGAGAGGGCGACCGGCCACACUGGGACUGAGACACGGCCCAGACUCCUACGGGAGGCAGCAGUGGGGAAUCUUGCGCAAUGGGCGAAAGCCUGACGCAGCGACGCCGCGU